GCCGCCGCGGCACAACCACGCCGGAGGAAGGCGGGGGCCGCUGCCCGCCCCGCGCAGGCCGCGCCGCCUUCCCGCCGCCGGCCGGGGCGCACCUGCGGCGGCUGCCCCGGCUGAGCAUAAUAUUUCUCCUGAUCAACUGACUGAUAAGCGAGUUUAGUAACAGCUUCACACUGCAGAAUUCCUCCAAAUCCUGUGGAUGCAUAGGAUAGGAGCAUCAGAGCAGGGGACUGCUGUCUCAAGCCAUGAUACACAGCAUGGAAAAAAAGGUCUUCAUCCUCUUCAGCAAGAGCGGUAUGGUCAGAGAGUAACCAAAGGAGACAGCAACGGUGUGCUGAAUGCAACCUGCACGUUGUAGUAUAGCAUGGGAAACAGGGAAGAUGACUGCAACAUUUUGUUAAGAUUCCCAUGCCUCCACCCACUGCAAUAUGAGAUUAAAGUAUAAACUAAGUAGAAAAUAGACCUGCAAGGCUUCAGAUGUCACUACAAGAGUAUGAUCCACUCUGUUUAGAUAAAUACAGUAUCUCAGUACUGGAGCUUACCCAGGACAGAUGUCUCGUCAAUAACAAACUUGUUCCCUGUAACAUUAAAUGACUCUGAGAGAUGUAUGAACCGCAAGGCCCAGCAAGUGACAGCAUAGUGAAACUUUUUCUGAGAUAAGCAAACAAAAAGUUUCCCACAAGCCCAUGGCACUCAUCCUGAAGUAAGAGGUGCUGAAGAAAGUCCAGGAGAGAUUAGGAGGGCCUGAGGUUAUUUACUCUCAAUAGAGUUAAGCAAGAUGGCAACUAGGAAAUCUAACUGCAAAACAACUUUCUGCCUGGCCAAGGAAAAAGAAUGAUAAAGACAGGGGAAUCUCAGUCAAGUUGUUCUUUUGCGGAUAUAACAGAUCCUGCCAAAAAGUCAAGAUAAUUGCCAAGAGGGACAAAGAAAAGACGCUUAUGGAACAACCUUAAAGCAACAGGUCUGUCAGGUUCCUGGUAUCUUUUCAUCACCUGAUGAAAAUAAUUCUUUUCCAUGUUUCUCUUCAGAUGUUUCAAAGUGCUAAUGAAAUACUUGCUUGGAGAAUAAAGAUGCGGCAAGUUCUGUGUCAAAGAAUUUUCUUAGUAGUAUGGAAGGAUUGACAGGAUGGUCUAUACAGGCCUUUUUCACUUCAGAGAGCAAUUUGCCUGAAUUUCUCAAAAGGGGUAUGUAGUAAUUGGUGAUGAUAGGAUAGGAGGAGAAUUCUACCGAUGCAAGGUCAAAACUCCCAGCCAGUGGUAAACUGUGAGUCUGUGAUAGCAUCAUUAGCACAUGGAAAGCUCCCGUGUUUCUUAACACUGCACUGGACUGCUUCAGCAGAUGGAUAAAUCAGAUUGGAGAAAGCCUUAAAGUUCAGGAUGUGACAGAUGGGUGGAGGCGUAAAUGAUGUCUGGAAAACAGUGCAAAUGGAAGGGAUUAACCAUGUGGAGUCUGCUGAUAGUGUCAGUCUUCUAGACAUUUAGGAUAAGAAUUCAUAGAUCCAACCCUCCAUGGGAGCAGUUACUGUGUUCUUCUGUGUAUUACUGGAAACAAGUCAAUUGUGAUUGUCUUUUGCAAGGUAGAGGAAGAGAGUUCUAAAUAGGCAUUAGAUGGUGGCAAGGUAAUUGGGGGUUUGUGCUACCUGACUUUAGAAGAAAUAGGAGUGAUGCCAAACCUUCUUGGAGUUGAUUGACUGUCAGGGAGUGCCAGGACAUGAGUUUCCUGAUGUAUUUAAAGGUAUGAAUACUGUCAUGAAAGCCUUCUAGUACAGACACUUGUAAAAAUCUGUUAAAUUAUAAAAAACAUUCCGAUUACAGAUACCUGUAAGAUGAGCGAAUACCUGAGAAAGAUGAGCAAAUACAUGAGAAAGAUGAGCAAAUGACAGCUAUCACCAUCUUGUCAUGGCCACCCUGAAGUGCACAGGGGAGCUGGCUGCAGUUGUGCUGAGUGGGGUGGGGGCGAGCAGGUCCACUCCAGCCUGUUAAAUCACCCACAACCAGACUGCGCUAAUUAUCACAGAAAGCUGGAUAUUCUUUAUCCUCUUUGAGCAUUCAGAGGUUUUUGUUGGUUUUGCCACAAUGGCAAAUACACCUCCACUGUGUUUGAAAGAUGAUAUUGCUGGGAGACAGAAUAGCUAACUGGGAUCCAGUUACCAUUAAGUGAGACUGGGAAGGGACUGGGUGCCAGAAAAAAGGACGCAAAGGAACAAGCAGCUUGCAGUGCUUAAAAGACUCAUGAGAAGUGGUGGGGCUGAAAGUUACAGGCUCAGGGAACUGGAGACGUUGGUGAUUCUGACAAAUGUAUGGAAGUCAGCAUGUUGCAAGACAUGAAAUAAACUUUAUGACGUAUUGUUGAGUAAGGCAAAAGUCAUAUAUUCAAAAUUGCCAUAGAUUUGUUUGCAAGAAUAAGUAUCUGUGUAGAAAGAUCUGGGUGAGGACAUAUCUUAUGGCAUGUACUAGACCUGCUCCGCAAACUUAAUUAAUUUAACCCCUGAGGCAACUGUUUCAGUAGUAGAACAUGAGAAUCUUUUGUACAGUUUGUAUUUAACUUUGGAUCUGUGAACUGCUCUAGUGUUAGUGUCCAAAUUACCCACGGUAAAGUAAUACAACUAAGAGUAAGUGUCCAGGGAAGUAAAGAUUGUGUUCUGAUGUGUCUUUAAUGGUGCAUACACUUAACUAGCUACAGCCUUUAAUGAAUGUGAGGUUUUAUGUAGAGAAUUUUCUCUUUCUGAGCAAAAUUGUUACCAUCUCUCUAAUUAUAAUAGUAAAUACACGAUAGGUAAAAUAUGCAAAUGGUAUUUUUGGAAACAUAAUUAGUCUGGAAGUUCUGUCUCCUUUUGCAGUUCUGAAAUUCUCUAGCAUGACCUUUGAAAGAGCUGUUAGCACUAUCUGCCUGUAUAAAAAGAACUAGCAUUUAUGGAAAAUACACUUGGAAACUAUAUUAAAAUUACUUUAAAUUGCUCUGUGAAAAGACAGUGUCAGUUUCUUGCAUAAUGUUACAUCUCUAUUUUAUAUGUAUGACCAGAACUGACUGUAUGCUGUAAACCUAAAAUAUAAUAAAUUAUCAUUUCAUG
Molecule: long non-coding RNA, 3067 nt
Organism: Tyto alba (common barn owl)
Lineage: Eukaryota; Metazoa; Chordata; Aves; Strigiformes; Tytonidae
Exons: 2
Source: RefSeq, a predicted model, not a curated record